CCUACGGGUGGCUGCAGUGAGGAAUAUUGGUCAAUGGGCGCGAGCCUGAACCAGCCAAGUCGCGUGAGGGAGGACGGCCCUACGGGUUGUAAACCUCUUUUGCCGGGGAGCAACGGGCGUCACGUGUGGCACCACUGAGAGUACCCGGAGAAAAAGCAUCGGCUACCUCCGUGCCAGCAGCCGCGGUAAUACGGAGGAGCCGAGCGUUAUCCGGAUUUAUUGGGUUUAAAGGGAGCGUAGGUGGAUUGUUAAGUCAGUUGUGAAAGUUUGCGGCUCAACCGUAAAAUUGCAGUUGAUACUGGCAGUCUUGAGUACAGUAGAGGUGGGCGGAAUUCGUGGUGUAGCGGUGAAAUGCUUAGAUAUCACGAAGAACUCCGAUUGCGAAGGCAGUUUACUGAACUGCAACUGACACUGAGGCUCGAAAGUGUGGGUAUCAAACAGGAUUAGAUACCCGAGUAGUC
This 461-nucleotide ribosomal RNA is filed under the name uncultured bacterium. RNAcentral describes it as "partial 16S ribosomal RNA". It matches the Rfam family "Bacterial small subunit ribosomal RNA", at positions 338 to 795 of the family's 1533-position model. The record is from RNAcentral.